Molecule: ribosomal RNA, 493 nt
Filed under: uncultured bacterium
Lineage: Bacteria
Description: partial 16S ribosomal RNA
Rfam family: Bacterial small subunit ribosomal RNA
Source: RNAcentral
GACGAACGCUGGCGGCGUGCCUAAUACAUGCAAGUCGAGCGACCAGCCAGGGCUCUUCCUCGGUCAAAGCAGGGAACGGGUGGGUAACUCGUGGGUAACUAACCCCCAUAUCCGGGAGAGCUCGCUUAGACACGGGCUAACACAGACCGUACACACUGUCCAUCGGUUCAGUUCGUAAAGGAAGCUUCGUCCUCCUAAUCGGUAGGGGCCCGCGGCCCAUUAGUUUGUUGGUUAGGUAACGGCUCACCAAGACCGCGAUGGGUAGCUGGUCUGAGAGGACGAUCGGCCACACUGGGACUGAGACACGGUCCAGACUCCUACGGGAGGCAGCAGUGGGGAAUCUUGCGCAAUGCGCGAAAGCGUGACGCAGCAACGCCGCGUGGGGGAAGAAGGCCUUCGGGUUGUAAACCCCUUUCAGGAGGGAAGAAGGUUCGGCGGUGAAUAGCCGUCCGGACUGACGGUACCUACACAGGAAGCCCCGGCUAACUACGUG